GAUGAACGCUGGCGGCGUGCCUAAUACAUGCAAGUCGAGCGAACGGACGAGAAGCUUGCUUCUCUGAUGUUAGCGGCGGACGGGUGAGUCACACGUGUAUAACCUACCUAUAAGACUGGGAUAACUUCGGGAAACCGGAGCUAAUACCGGAUAAUAUUUUGAACCGCAUGGUUCAAAAGUGAAAGACGGUCUUGCUGUCACUUAUAGAUGGAUCCGCGCUGCAUUAGCUAGUUGGUAAGGUAACGGCUUACCAAGGCAACGAUGCAUAGCCGACCUGAGAGGGUGAUCGGCCACACUGGAACUGAGACACGGUCCAGACUCCUACGGGAGGCAGCAGUAGGGAAUCUUCGGCAAAGGGCGAAAGCCUGACGGAGCAACGCCGCGUGAGUGAUGAAGGUCUUCGGAUCGUAAAACUCUGUUAGUAGGGAAGAACAUAUGUGUAAGUAACUGUGCACAUCUUGACGUUACCUAAACAGAAAGCCACGGCUAACUACGUG
This 497-nucleotide ribosomal RNA is filed under the name uncultured bacterium. RNAcentral describes it as "partial 16S ribosomal RNA". It matches the Rfam family "Bacterial small subunit ribosomal RNA", at positions 28 to 507 of the family's 1533-position model. The record is from RNAcentral.